AUGCCAGGACGACACAUACUGGAAGGGGUGGUCAUUCUACAUGAAACGCUUCAUGAAAUCCACUCGAAGAAACUCGAUGGGGUUAUCUUUAAAGUGGACUUUGAGAAGGCGUAUGAUAAAGUAAAGUGGCCUUUUCUUCAGCAGGCAAUGCGCAUGAAGGGUUUUAGUGAAACCUGGAGGAACCAAGUGGAUACCCAAGUCCAGAAAGGUAGUGUUGGAAUCAAGGUGAACGAUGACAUCGGUCAUUAUUUCCAGACACAUAAGGGGUUGCGACAAGGGGAUUCCAUGUCUCCUCUUCUGUUCAAUAUUGUGGCAGAUAUGCUGGCCAUCAUUAUUGGCAGGGCCAAGCAGCAUGGCCAUGUAGAGGGUCUAGUUCCUCAUCUAGUCGAUGGAGGGGUAUCCAUUCUAUAA
RNAcentral lists this ribosomal RNA (411 nucleotides) under Triticum aestivum (bread wheat). Its description in RNAcentral is "partial small subunit ribosomal RNA". Lineage: Eukaryota; Viridiplantae; Streptophyta; Magnoliopsida; Poales; Poaceae. The record is from RNAcentral.